GUGAAUUUGUCAAGGGAAACGUAAUGUUGGUCUGGCGAGCUCCCUCACAAUAACAUUAUUAACGGCCACGAUCUGUCAGGACGAUCAUCUAAGUACACUACUUGCUUUUUAUUGACGAUAGAGUAUUACUGUGGGACUUAACGACAGUAAUGCUGCCAAUUAUCAUCAUUGUUGUUUUUAGCUUGCAAACUUACAGUAACACUGCUAAUUAUCUUCAUUCACAUUACUAAUUGGUUUAAUGACAGUAGUACUGAAAUUAUUAGCAUUGCAUGUGUAGUAAUAAUUCUGACUGUUAUGUCUUCCAGUAUGUAUGUAACGUCACCUCCUGUCUGACUAAUAGCACGAUCUUCCAUAUGCCUAGCGAGAGACAUAAUUCAGAAUUCCUAUACUAAUCAGGGCGUACUUCAUGUCGCUAGAGUCGUGUCAAAAUGUAUUUGCAAAGUCGAAUUUGGAAAAGGAUGGGAGUUGCUUUCACAUGCACAACACACGCAGCUACGUACCGGUUUCAUUUUAUUUUAUUUUCUGCCUCUUUCUUUCUCAGAAGCAUACUCGAAGUUCCAUUAACGAGUCAGCCACUUUGGUUGUAGUUGGAACAAGCGUCAUUGUCCACAGCUACACUGUAAUAGUGCUGACUUUGAACAGUAAAAUAGAGAUCCUGAUAAGUGAUUUCUGAAAAGUCGAGAGCAGAGACCACUAGAAAUUGGUGCAGUUGAUCAAAACCAGCAGUUUUUUCUCAGCUUUUUGUCAUCAAAGGUUUGAUGGCCAGCAAACGCUCAGGUAUACAUUCUGAAACUAGCAAGAACCAUCUUCUUCUUUUUUAUUAUUUUAAAUCACAUUUCAAUUUAAGAGUAAUACAUUUUUCGUAGACUUUCUGUGGGAAUACGAACUAUAUGUUACAUGAAAUGACCAGCAUGUGCUAUCAUUUGCGACAGAUGAUCGUAGCCAAUGUACUAAGAAGAGAAAUGAAAUAUAUAGAAAAGAAAAGAGAAAAGAAAAAAACCUUGGAAAAGGCAUUCAUCAGUCCAAAGGUGGGGGUAAUGCUCCACAAUCAAAUUUACUGCUCCCCAGUACAACAGAAGCGCGGAAGAUUAUUGGCAAGGCAAAGUUGUCCCUGACGAAGCAGAUUACACUAGAAUCCCAAGCUAACGCAGAACCGAAAACGAACGACUUCACAGUAAGCCUAAAGGUUCGAGCCCAUCUCUCAUUCUCGUAGUCCCUCAAAGCAGUUGCAAUUUUACGCGAUAACACACUAGGGUCUUCAUCCUUACCACCCCUUAGAGCAUCACAAAGCUUACGAGUCAGUACCACAGAGUCUUCUAACGAAGUGCAACCACCCUGGCCGAGAUUUGGAGUCAUGGGAUGGGCAGCGUCCCCAGCCAAGGUGAUCCCAUUCGAGGCUUCUUGAGCAGUCACAAGGGGAAUUGACCACCGGUCUCUCAGAUUGCUGCGGUUAAAGCUCUCUGGAGGAGUAUUGCAGAUGCACUCUAAGAUAUCACUUGGCCAGCCUUCCAUGUACCGUAGGGCUUCUUCCUUGAUUUUGUUCGGGUCAGUGAUUCUUGAAGGAACUGCAUUUCAAUCAGUGAGUUUCUCAUUUAAGACAACUACACCCAUUUAUACUCGCGGAAGAUCAAAAUACAAGAUUAGAACGGACUUCAGGUUAGGUGCAUGACAAGUUUUUGUACCUUCUCAUCAAACAUCUUUAUCAAAGCAUGUUGGAUGCAAGUGCAACUCCGCACUUGUGCAGGGCUAUUAGGUCUAGGAAACUGAAAUGGCUAAUUGGACAAACAGUGUAUUCGUCAAGGAUGCAAGAGCAUCUUCUAGUCUAAGUUUUUAUUGAAACCAGACGGAUCAUCGUUGCACAGCAACUGAUUAUGUCAUGAAAUACGAAAAAAAACUCCACCCUGACCACUGGUAGGUGGUAGGGCAGUCAUUCUUUGCAAGUCAUAGCAUACCUGACGAUGCCCUUAAUAUGGAUGCAAGAAUUAACCAACGUAAACUGAAACUAUUAGUGGGUUAAGUUGAGAAACGAACGUAGAAAAGGCGUAGUUAGUUACCUGAGGCUGUAGUGUUGAACAGGAUAAACCAAUACACUUUAUACUGCGUCACUGGAACCAAGCCUGCUCUCACGCCUUGGCCAAUUAUCUGUUCCACCCUAGACUGAAACUGAUGUCCAGAGUUGAACUCAGCGAGUCCCCUAAUGGCUGUUUGUCCAACAGCUCGGGGUUCAGACAGGCCCAUCCAUUGAGCUACUACCGAACGAGCCCCGUCACAACCAACCAAGACCUAGAACCAUUACGAUUAGACCUUAAAUUAGAAUGGGAUCACUGCAUUAUUAUCAGACUUGAUGCUUCUAUGAACGGAUCUCUUGGAGGAUUGCAAGGCUGAUAUCUUCUACUUCGUUUCAAGUACUACAGGACUUUCGUGUUCCCUACCUUUGUCUUGAUAACGUUGCCAUUUUCGAGCUCCACUUCGGUGGGAGAUUGCAUGUCACGAGGUUUGCGGAUAGAUUUAACUCGAGAGUUGAACAUUAUGGUAUCACUAGGGAGCGCCUGGUUAAGAGCCUUGAGUAAAGCCUGCCUCUCAACUGCUCGCACCUCAUACGGCCUGUUGGCAGACAAUAACAGGUUAUAGAGCAUCCAUGAGAGUGCAGAAUUUUUUUGAAGGGCUUCCUCUCUAUAAUAUCUAAAGCUUUGACUGAAAUGUUUGUAUAUUUGACAGUCAUUGAGGAAAGUUCGUUAUACAUCACUGUUAUGAACUCUACCCACGUCAUUAGUCAGUUACUCACCCUCCAGGACAGUCAGAAUUUUCGAAUUCUUUGAUAACUUUUCCAUCGUUCGACCGCAUUCUUCCUCUGCAAAAACAAGCUACGAUCUAUAAUUACUGGUCAAAAGCUGAUUCUGUUUGAAAUAGUGUGAUUACGGAAAUCAGCCGGUGGGAUGAGCUCACAAAUCAGGAACAAAACCAACCUUGGUAUGGAGAGUACGAGCAAUGAAAAUAAACAGCAUUCUGCGACAUUUUAAGAAGGAUUGUAGCGCAAUUUCAGCAUUUCAGAACCAACUGGAGGUAUCUGACAUUGUACUAAACUAAGAAGGAAGAUUCAGACAUUUUCUAAAUUAGGAUAGAAACAGUUUAAUCGACUUUGAAGUAAGUGUGAGGAAAUACCCUGUAAUGUUGGUGAACGAACCUCGAAGCUCAUCUGCAAUGCCUAAUGUAUCAAGUGCUCGCCACGCGUUGGGGAAGAGAGUGAGGGAGGUACCCUCUGCGCGCAAGUUUCCUGAUUGCUCCAAGACCAACGCCUUUACUCCCACUCUAUGCACAUUCAUUUGACAAUUAGGUCCAAUUGAAAUAGGUCUUAAUUUUUUUUCCCAGGUUCACUUUUCUGAUACCAUGGGUGGUUUUACCAAUUUUUUUUGUGGGACACAGGAGUGGCAAAAAACUUCAGCGUGUACGCGAAAGUAUUUUAGGGCAAGGACGGGCCCUACAACACCAUGACAACACAGUAAGCUCCACAGAUAAACAUUUGAACCACUAUCCAAAAAGCACGGCCAAAAUGGUCAAUAACGUACAAAAUCAUGUUGGAGCAAAAUAUUGCAAAAUGUAAAAAGUCAAGUAAUUUUAUAGUCAAUCCUCUAGUUGCUCUGUCCAAUUUCUGAAAUCAUAGUACACAACUCAUAAAACAAUUUUCAAUUUCCCACCGAUAAUAUUACUACAGUUCUCUAAAUAUGCCUCACCACUAUGUACACAUUCACCUGAAAUUCUGCAUCUCAAAGACAGAAUUUAGGCAUAGACGAUUGCCCAAGUUUUGACAGUAAUCCUACGGUAUCAGCGUGGUCAAAUCUUCUCAAUGCUAGUAGUCCCUCUAUCUUUCCCAUAUGCAGCACUCCAAGCAACGAAGGCCUUGAAAAGUGUUUGAAACUUGAAAAGCAAGCUCGGGAAUAAUCAGAGCAUGCUUCAACGACCCAUUAUUCCCUUCUGCUUCUAUUGAACAAAAGCUCAAAGACAUUUUGACUACUUUGAAGCUUAUGAUAAUAACGAAAAGCAGAAACAGAAACACAAAGGCAAACUCACUUCCUCACGACAACGUUUAUCAAGCCAAUUGGAUAUCCAUAGUCCCUCCACACACUGUAAUUCAU
Molecule: long non-coding RNA, 4133 nt
Filed under: Physcomitrium patens
Lineage: Eukaryota; Viridiplantae; Streptophyta; Bryopsida; Funariales; Funariaceae
Description: long non-coding RNA (PPAT_LNC004866)
Source: RNAcentral